GUCCGGCGCCAACACCCAUCAGUCCAGAGUCCAUCACCAAUGCGGCCGCCACGCGCGCUGCCGCUGCCGCACUUCACUCUCCCGCCGCUUGCCGGCGAGGACCUCGCCUUCGUUACCGCCCUCCGCGCCCACCUCUCCUCCGCCCCGGAGCUCGCGCCCUCCUCCCUCUCCCGCUUCCUACCCCAACUAAACCACCUCCGACUCUCACACCUCCUCCUCUCCCCGCCUCGGGUGCCCCACGACCUCCUCGGCUCCCUCCUCCCCUCGCCGCCGCCCCCUCUCCCCUUCUCCCUCCUCCUCCACGCCCUCACCCCGCGCCGCUCCUCCGAGCUCCUCGCCUCCCUGCUCCCCUCCGUCUCGCACCAAGCCUUCCCGGAGCUCCUCCACCACCUCAUCUUAACCGCUCGCCUCGCCGCCGGGAUCCGCGGCACCGGCGCCGCAGCGCCGGCCAUCGACGUUCUCUUCUCUGCUUGCGCGCGCGGAAACAAGCUCUCUCAGGCCACGCUCACCUUCCGCGCCAUGCGUGCGCAUGGCCUGCUCCCGCGGGUCGAGUCCUGCAACGUCUUCAUCUCCGCGGCGCUCCGCCUGAAGCGCCCCGAGAUCGCCGUGUCCUUCUUCCGGGAGAUGCGCCGGUGCCGUAUCUCGCCCAACAUGUACACGGCCAACAUGUUGUUGCGGGCCUUCUGUGCCUUGGGGCGGGUCGCUGACGCCGCCAUGGUGCUCGAUGAAAUGCCGGAUUGGGGGGUUGAUAGGACGGUGGUCAGCUUCAACACGCUGAUCGCUGCUUAUUGCAGGGAGCAUGGUGGUCUGGAACAUGCGCUGGAGCUGAAGAAGAGGAUGGAGCUGGAGGGGCUAACUCCCAGUGAGUUGACCUAUAACACGAUCAUCCAUGGGCUGUGCAAGGAGGGGAGGAUGCGGCAGGCGAAUCGUUUGUUGAGUGAAAUGAGGGCGAUGAGGGUUGUCCCGAACACAGUAACUUUCAAUACGCUGAUUUAUGGGUAUGUCAUGCAUGGUGAUAAUGGGACAGCAUCGAGGGUUCAUGAAGAGAUGGUUAAGAAGGGAGUUGAGCUUGAUAUUGUAACUUACAAUGCGCUCAUUCUCGGUCUUUGCCGGGACGGGAAGAUAAAAAAGGCCGAGCACUUGUUUCAGCAGCUUGACAGGCCCAAGCUUGAACCGAAUGCUUCAACUUUCUCAGCGUUGAUUCUUGGGCACUGCAAGACGCAGAAUUCAGAGCGAGCACUGCAACUGUUGAAUGUGAUGAAAAAAUCUGGCUUCCAUCCGAAUUAUGACACAUAUAAGAUUGUUAUAUCUACUUUCUGCAAGAAUAAGGAUUUUGAAGGAGCAGUGGAUGUGAUGAAGGAGCUUCUCGAGAUGCGCAUGGCUCCUGACAAGGUCUUAUUGCAUGAAUUUUUUGAAGCUCUCUCAAAGGCUAAAAAACUCCACCUAGCAGAAGAUCUGCAGUCAGCUGAUAAAAGUGGAAAGUUUAUUCCAUCUAUCUAUUAUACUGGUGAUUACAGGAACAAGGGCGAAGAGUAAACUGCAUGUUAACACGCAGAGACCAAAAUGGUGCCUCGUGAGAAUGUACAAUUUGUUUGUUUGGAGAACAAUAUAAGUAGCUGAAUUGCGUGUUCCUGCAAGAAGAUGACUGUAGCAAAUGGAGUACUACAUACCACGUGUCUACACAAAUAUGUCAACCGAGAAUUCUCCAUAAUCAGAUGCUUAUGGAGUUACAGGCUUGUACAUUUCUUGCAACAACUUUUGUUAUUCCAUUGACAAAGUAUCAGAUGUAACUCCACUGGUGAAAUUUUGAAUUGAUUUGUGCUGGUUCUAGCACCAGCACCAUAUUAGGUAGUUCUUCAAACAUCUUCUUGAAACCAUCUAAAAGACCAUCUGUUCGGAAAUUCAAAUUCAAAUUCAGUUUGUAUUGGAGGAAAUUUCUGCGAGCAAAGCAGUUAACAGUGACUUCCCCA
Molecule: RNA transcript, 1970 nt
Organism: Hordeum vulgare subsp. vulgare (domesticated barley)
Lineage: Eukaryota; Viridiplantae; Streptophyta; Magnoliopsida; Poales; Poaceae
Gene name: pentatricopeptide repeat-containing protein At4g26680, mitochondrial-like
Exons: 2
Source: RefSeq, a predicted model, not a curated record